UCGAGAAUCUUCGGCAAUGGGCGAGAGCCUGACCGAGCGACGCCGCGUGGAGGACGAAGGCCUUCGGGUUGUAAACUCCUGUCGAGGGGGAACAAGGGCCCGUGAAGAACGGGCCUUGAGUGGUCCCUGGAGGAAGCACGGGCUAAGUUCGUGCCAGCAGCCGCGGUAAGACGAACCGUGCGAACGUUAUUCGGAAUCACUGGGCUUAAAGCGCGUGUAGGCGGGUCGGCACGUCGGUCGCUGAAAUCCCCCGGCUCAACCGGGGAACGGGCCCCGAUACGACCGACCUGGAGGGGGGUAGGGGGAGCCGGAACUUCCGGUGGAGCGGUGAAAUGCGUUGAGAUCGGAAGGAACGCCCGUGGCGAAAGCGGGCUCCUGGACCCCACCUGACGCUGAGACGCGAAAGCCAGGGGAGCGAACGG
RNAcentral lists this ribosomal RNA (422 nucleotides) under uncultured bacterium. RNAcentral describes it as "bacterial SSU rRNA". It matches the Rfam family "Bacterial small subunit ribosomal RNA", at positions 355 to 775 of the family's 1533-position model. The record is from RNAcentral.